This 66-nucleotide transfer RNA is filed under the name Lottia goshimai. RNAcentral's name for it is "tRNA-Leu". The record is from RNAcentral. Lineage: Eukaryota; Metazoa; Mollusca; Gastropoda; Lottiidae.
GCAAAGUUGGCAGAUUAAUGUGUUUGGUUUAGGGCCAAAUCAUGUGGGAUUUUCCCACACUUUGCU